AGCGGCGAACGGGUGAGUAACACGUGAGCAACCUGCCCCUGACUCCGGGAUAAGCGGUGGAAACGCCGUCUAAUACCGGAUAUGACCUGCCGCCUCAUGGUGGCGGGUGGAAAGUUUUAUCGGUCAGGGAUGGGCUCGCGGCCUAUCAGCUUGUUGGUGGGGUAAAGGCCUACCAAGGCGAUUACGGGUAGCCGGCCUGAGAGGGCGACCGGCCACACUGGGACUGAGACACGGCCCAGACUCCUGCGGGAGGCAGCAGUGGGGAAUAUUGCACAAUGGGCGAAAGCCUGAUGCAGCGACGCCGCGUGGGGGAUGACGGCCUUCGGGUUGUAAACCUCUUUUACCACCAACGCAGGCUCCGGGUUUUCUCGGGGUUGACGGUAGGUGGGGAAUAAGGACCGGCUAACUACGUGCCAGCAGCCGCGGUAAUACGUAGGGUCCGAGCGUUGUCCGGAAUUAUUGGGCGUAAAGAGCUCGUAGGCGGCAUGUCGCGUCUGCUGUGAAAGACCGGGGCUUAACUCCGGUUCUGCAGUGGAUACGGGCAUGCUAGAGGUAGGUAGGGGAGACUGGAAUUCCUGGUGUAGCGGUGAAAUGCGC
This 597-nucleotide ribosomal RNA is filed under the name Nocardiopsis sp. EGI80238. RNAcentral describes it as "bacterial SSU rRNA". It matches the Rfam family "Bacterial small subunit ribosomal RNA", at positions 94 to 691 of the family's 1533-position model. Lineage: Bacteria; Bacillati; Actinomycetota; Actinomycetes; Streptosporangiales; Nocardiopsidaceae. The record is from RNAcentral.